UAAUUUGUCAUUGAUUUAAUUGAUGAUGAUCGUCUCUGGACCAGUUACUGAAGUGUGAUUCAUUACUCCAGCGACCACUUUUUUUUUGCCAAGUCCAGAAUGUACUGGCAACUAGACAUGUGCGAUUCAUUUCGUUCCAAAUGUGUAUUCUUAUGAAUUUCAUGCCAUUCGGAUGAUUACGAAUGUCCGAAGUGACUCGGAUUUCAGAAAAGUGGCAAAACAAGCAGGAGAGAAAUUAACGUGAAUGAUGACAGUAAUCUUGACCAAUAAGCUAAUUCCUUUUGU
Pelobates cultripes (western spadefoot toad) is the source of this 285-nucleotide non-coding RNA. The record is from the annotation of a GenBank genome assembly. NCBI's taxonomy places the organism in Eukaryota, Metazoa, Chordata, Amphibia, Anura, Pelobatidae.